Molecule: long non-coding RNA, 2133 nt
Organism: Jaculus jaculus (lesser Egyptian jerboa)
Lineage: Eukaryota; Metazoa; Chordata; Mammalia; Rodentia; Dipodidae
Exons: 6
Source: RefSeq, a predicted model, not a curated record
GUAAAUAUGGAGGGGAGGGGACAGAAAAAGUAAGUCAGGGGCAGUGGCCUCUGUUGAUCUUGCCCGGCUGGGGAGCGGCUGCCUGGGUUUGACAGAAUGUAAAUGGACUUUUGGCGCCUCAAAUUUGUAAGCAGUAAAGUAAGUCUUGGAAAAAAAUGUGGGAUUAAUUUUGACAUUAUCUCUCGCGAAUUAAAACUUCAAGGUUGUUCAGUUUUCCCUGGAGGAGACGUGACAUUGUUAGUUUCGCCCUAAUGCGCCGAGGAUGUGUACAUCGUGUGUUCAGGGCGGGUACGAGAUAUCUGCAGCAUUCCAACACAAAACGUUCUAAAAUACGGCCAAAGAAUCGUGUUCUUUGGCUCUUAAAUUGUUUGACAAAACGUCGCAGUUCUGGAGGGGGUGGGGCUAUAGUAACUCCAAAGUAUUGAUCCUUUGUCUAUUGUAUCAGCGAACGACACUCCAGAAGGGACCAGAUGCCACUUUGUACUCUUCUUUCGGCAACCAUCGACACCUUUUUUCUCCAUUAUUCCCAAACGUCAAUGUAAAAGUUCCUUGUAAAAAUCAUAGCCAAGACUAUGGAAUUUAGAAACAUUUAAUUGUCCCGAUUUAGGGAGUGAGAUUAUUGAUGGCUUUGUUUAUUCUUACAGUGUAUUUGUUAGCCCUCCACCCCAGUCUGACGUGUAAACAACUUUGUACUUAUAUUCAUUAAAUACUCUGUACAUUUAAUUAAUACAUAGGACACAGCACCAUUGUACUAAUUUUGAAAAACAUAAUUUUAAAAUGAAACAAAACAGGAGACGUAGUUAUAGUAAAUCUGUUUACAUGUACAGAAAUGUAUUUAACGUUCAAAGUCUAGUUUUGUAGCUUUAAUUUUUAGGUUUGUGAUUGAGGGUGCACGGAGUUUUUUAAAGCUGACUUGAAUAUUUUGUUGAAACAAAGGGAGAAUGUAUGUAACUUAUUACAAAUGUGUGUCCAUUUUAAAAAAAAACAAGUGGUAUCUAAUGAGUUAAUCAUUAAGAAGUAUGCACAAUGCGGCCAUUUCAGGACGUGAAAGAGUUUCUGUGGUGCUGCUUGAGACCGGAAGGAGCGAUUUGACAUCAAGUAAGAGUCUCUUCCACCUUAAUUAUCUCCCACCAUACUGGGAGGGAGGAGGGAGAAAGAGAGACAGAGAGAGAGAGAGAAAGAUUGAAUGAAAGCCACGCCCUUCACUCUGCCUUAAGAUCCUGGGAAGAAAACGACUAAUAAAAAGUCCCCCGGUGUGACAACUCCCCCUUCGUUGACCCCGAGGGGAUGCAGCAGCAAUUCAUGUUUUGGAGUCUUGAAAUGUUCAAAACAUGAAGCGCUGCCUCACCCCUUCGUGGGGAAAGUAGAAGGCGGCGAUCUGCAGGAUAAGACCGGGCAACAUUUGUUUCCUGAAAGUCCAACUCCGGAGCAGCAGGGUUCUUCCUUAAUCCAGAAGAGAGUGCCACAGGAUACUAGAUGAACACCCCACCCCGAAGGACCCCAAGUUCUGCUGCUCCCUCCAGCCAGCACCAGCAAGACACAGGAACUGUGCAUCAAAAAUCCUGGCGGGAAUAUGAACACAGAAGACUCCUGUUUCAAGAAAAUGCAAUCAUCUUUCAAAAGCUGUAAUUUAUAUGCAUUUUACCUCACUAGGUAUUGAAAACCACCGAAUUGGGGGGAGUUAAAAUAUAAUCAAUCACUAAGUGUAAUAUUAUACAUCCUUUAAACAUGUUACUGGAAAGUGUUUUAUGAUCUGUAAGUCAACAGUCCUGUUCCACCAUUUUCCUUCCUGCUGACCCCCAUACCCAUGCUUUUUUUUUGUUCUAGUUGGCAUGUAAACUUGUUUUUCCCACCAAAUGAGUCAGUCACGAUGGGAGCAUCAAUUGAUUCGAACAGAUGUGUGUCAAUGUUACUUGGAAAAAAACUACAUGCCAAUAACCAGGGAAAACAGAAAAGGCAGUGGUUGUAACUCUGUAAAAAUUUAUGCAUGCACACAGACAAGGACAAAAGUAGAACCCUAAACAGGAAAACAUUUGGAUAUACUCCAGCUCUGGGAGAUGGAAUAAUUGUAUGUUGCUUUUGAUUCCCAUUAAUAUGGGCAACUGUCCAAUUAAACAAAAAAACUAAUAAGGA